CUGCAGCCCGAGUGGUGAUCGAUUUUAUUGAGCCUAAAGCGUCCGUAGCCGGACUAGUAAACCCUUGGGUAAAUUGGGCAGCUUAACUGUCCACAUUCCGAGGGGACUGCUAGUCUUGGGACCGGGAGAGGUCAGAGGUACUCAAGGGGUAGGGGCUAAAUCCUGUAAUCCUUUGGGGACCACCAGUGGCGAAGGCGUCUGACUAGAACGGAUCCGACGGUAAGGGACGAAACCCUGGGGCGCGAACCGGAUUAGAUACCCGAGUAGUC
Molecule: ribosomal RNA, 269 nt
Filed under: uncultured archaeon
Lineage: Archaea
Description: partial 16S ribosomal RNA
Rfam family: Archaeal small subunit ribosomal RNA
Source: RNAcentral